CUGUCCAGUUCAUGUUGACAGGAAAAUAACAAAUACAGACAUGACAAUUAAGUAAAGACCUAAAAAGAAAGUUAAAGAAUAGAUUGUUUUAAAAAACUAAACACCUAUAACACUUGAAAGAAGAACUGGUUUCUCGUGAAGACUUGAUUUAUCAAACCUAAGAUCCUGGUAAACCAAAGCAUCAACAAACUGAACGCUGGCAAGUUCAAUGACUCGUACGACAGCAGGCUCCCAUGAAGCUACUGCUUGACCUCGCAGCUCCAGCGUACACAGGACCCUGCAAGGGGCAGGCUGGAGGCAGGCGUCUCAGGUGAGCGCACUGGGGGAAUGGACACCCCAUGCGAGAGAGGAGAGUAAGCGGAGCUCCAGGAGGGGAGAGCGAGAGAGGCAACAGCUGGAGAGAGCGCGCGGACUCCUACAAAACACCGGGAACUUCCACCUAACAUCUGCAGGCGACAGGAAGCAUUGAACACAACUUGAAAUCUUAUGUACCUGCCAUGACUCCUCUCCAAGAGGAGCAUCUCCUCAGAGGAGGGGAGUUUUCUCCUCUCACAGGAAAUCCACAGCGUGUUAGACACAGCCAGACAGACAGAAGGAGGGUAGAUAUCAACAAGUAAAAGGACAGAAGAUGACUUUGGCAGUUAUGCAACAAUUACAGAAAAAGAAUUUAAAAGAAACUAUUUUUUUCCACUUGAAGUCCAGAGUACACGUUAUUACAACUCCCGGCUAUGACGACAUCAGCAGAACUCAACCAAAAACGUUGAUGGGCUUAACGGGUAUCAGAGGAAAGACUCUUCCUUGAGAACAACAGACAGCCCUGCUGUUUGCCUAGCCAGCUCUACAGAGCAUUAAGGAACUUGAAGUCAGAUAGUCUAAAGACAAGCAGGCAUUGGUGGAGAUCUCAACCAGCUUGGAAGGUAAUGUGCUGAGCAACAACAAUUCCUGGCAUGACCCUCUGAAUCAAAAAUCUAAGGUGUAAACUUGUUUAAACAACAACCCUCAGAGAGACAGCCAAGAAAUUAGAAAGAAAAUAGAGCAAAAGAGCAGAGAUUUAUUGAACUCAAAUGGUGGACUUCCUCCUUAGCUGGAAGUCCACAGCAGAGAAAGUCAAAUAACAUGAGAAGAUGUCUCUCUAUACUUCAUAAUGGAUUCACGGAACGGGCUGUAUGAGAGGCCAGAUGUCCCAGCUCCUGUAAGUAUGAGCAUGGCUCCAAACUAAGCUAAAGUGCCAGAAAUGUUGGGAACCCUAGUAGUGUCAAAGCUGGAAAGAGGUCUCCCCAAGCCCCCUCUCCCUCUCCGCCAGCCGAAGGCACUGCUGCGGUCAUUCUUUCUGAGGGUUUUCCCCUCUUGCAAGAUGUGAAACUCAGUCAUAUUACAACACUUUUACAGGCCUGGGAGAUAACAACUUCCCAUCCCAAUAUGGAUCACAAAUAUUUGCCACCUUUUUUCUUAAGAAAUAAAUUCAUAACAAAAUAAAUUAAAAUCCUGGAA
Molecule: long non-coding RNA, 1491 nt
Filed under: Apteryx rowi (Okarito brown kiwi)
Lineage: Eukaryota; Metazoa; Chordata; Aves; Apterygiformes; Apterygidae
Description: lncRNA (ENSARWG00000004475.1)
Source: RNAcentral